This 300-nucleotide ribosomal RNA is filed under the name uncultured bacterium. RNAcentral describes it as "bacterial SSU rRNA". It matches the Rfam family "Bacterial small subunit ribosomal RNA", at positions 494 to 795 of the family's 1533-position model. The record is from RNAcentral.
GAGCUAGAUAGGUGCCUACAGCAGAGGUAGUGCGUGGGGGGCGAGCGUUAAUCGGAAAUAUGGGGCGUAAGUCGGGCGAUGGGGGUUAUGUAAGACAGAGGUGAAGUCCCCGGGCUCAACCUGGGAACUGCAUUUGUGACUGCAUGGCAAGAGUACGGUAGAGGGGGAUGGAAUUCCGCGGGUAGCAGUGAAAUGCGUAGAUAUGCGGAGGAACACCGAUGGCGAAGGCAAUCCCCUGGACCUGUACUGACGCUCAUGCACGAAAGCGUGGGGAGCAAACAGGAUUAGAUACCCGUAGUC